This 472-nucleotide ribosomal RNA is filed under the name uncultured bacterium. RNAcentral describes it as "partial 16S ribosomal RNA". It matches the Rfam family "Bacterial small subunit ribosomal RNA", at positions 28 to 507 of the family's 1533-position model. The record is from RNAcentral.
GACGAACGCUGGCGGCGUGCUUAACACAUGCAAGUCGAACGCUGAAGCUUGGUGCUUGCACUGGGUGGAUGAGUGGCGAACGGGUGAGUAAUACGUGAGUAACCUGCCCUUGACUCUGGGAUAAGCCUGGGAAACUGGGUCUAAUACUGGAUAUGACAUGCCACUGCAUGGUGGUGUGUGGAAAGGGGUUUACUGGUUUUGGAUGGGCUCACGGCCUAUCAGCUUGUUGGUGGGGUAAUGGCCUACCAAGGCGACGACGGGUAGCCGGCCUGAGAGGGUGACCGGCCACACUGGGACUGAGACACGGCCCAGACUCCUACGGGAGGCAGCAGUGGGGAAUAUUGCACAAUGGGCGGAAGCCUGAUGCAGCGACGCCGCGUGAGGGAUGACGGCCUUCGGGUUGUAAACCUCUUUCAGCACGGAAGAAGCGAGAGUGACGGUACGUGCAGAAGAAGCGCCGGCUAACUACGUG